AACCGAUGCUGAUGACUGUGAUACCAACGCCGACUGCACAAACACUGAAGGGUCCUUCACCUGUACAUGCAAGCAUGGCUACGCUGGAGAUGGAAAAACUUGCAUAGCGGGUGUGUGUUCUGCGGACGGGGAUGAAUGCCUCAAUGGAGGAACAUGUGACACAAGCAGCACUCCCACCAAGUGUUCCUGUGCGGAUGGUUACACGGGGGACACCUGUCAGAAUGGUGGAGGUACG
Long non-coding RNA from Haliotis rubra (blacklip abalone), 235 nucleotides. RefSeq lists it as uncharacterized. The record is from RefSeq and is a predicted model, not a curated record. Lineage: Eukaryota; Metazoa; Mollusca; Gastropoda; Lepetellida; Haliotidae. The transcript is spliced from 3 exons.